RNAcentral lists this transfer RNA (68 nucleotides) under Platemys platycephala. Its description in RNAcentral is "tRNA-Arg". Lineage: Eukaryota; Metazoa; Chordata; Testudines; Chelidae. The record is from RNAcentral.
GGAUGAUUAGUCUAACUAAGACCACUAAUUUCGACUUAGUAAAUCAUGAUUAACAACAUGAUCACCCC